Molecule: ribosomal RNA, 468 nt
Filed under: uncultured bacterium
Lineage: Bacteria
Description: partial 16S ribosomal RNA
Rfam family: Bacterial small subunit ribosomal RNA
Source: RNAcentral
GACGAACGCUGGCGGCGUGCUUAACACAUGCAAGUCGAACGGAAAGGCCCUGCUUUUGUGGGGUGCUCGAGUGGCGAACGGGUGAGUAACACGUGAGUAACCUGCCCUUGACUUUGGGAUAACUUCAGGAAACUGGGGCUAAUACCGGAUAGGAGCUCCUGCUGCAUGGUGGGGGUUGGAACGUCUCGGCGGUUGGGGAUGGACUCGCGGCUUAUCAGCUUGUUGGUGGGGUAGUGGCUUACCAAGGCUUUGACGGGUAGCCGGCCUGAGAGGGUGACCGGCCACAUUGGGACUGAGAUACGCCCCAGACUCCUACGGGAGACAGCAGUGGGGAAUAUUGCACAAUGGGCGGAAGCCUGAUGCAGCGGCGCCGCGUGCGGGAUGACGGCCUUCGGGUUGUAAACCGCUUUCGCCUGUGACGAAGCGUGAGUGACGGUAAUGGGUAAAGAAGCACCGGCUAACUACGUG